RNAcentral lists this transfer-messenger RNA (363 nucleotides) under Escherichia coli. Its description in RNAcentral is "Standard tmRNA". It matches the Rfam family "transfer-messenger RNA". From Rfam's summary of the family: Bacterial tmRNA, also known as 10Sa RNA or SsrA, is named for its dual tRNA and mRNA-like properties. Lineage: Bacteria; Pseudomonadati; Pseudomonadota; Gammaproteobacteria; Enterobacterales; Enterobacteriaceae. RNAcentral also lists the same sequence under 1 other name. The record is from RNAcentral.
GGGGCUGAUUCUGGAUUCGACGGGAUUUGCGAAACCCAAGGUGCAUGCCGAGGGGCGGUUGGCCUCGUAAAAAGCCGCAAAAAAUAGUCGCAAACGACGAAAACUACGCUUUAGCAGCUUAAUAACCUGCUUAGAGCCCUCUCUCCCUAGCCUCCGCUCUUAGAACGGGGAUCAAGAGAGGUCAAACCCAAAAGAGAUCGCGUGGAAGCCCUGCCUGGGGUUGAAGCGUUAAAACUUAAUCAGGCUAGUUUGUUAGUGGCGUGUCCGUCCGCAGCUGGCAAGCGAAUGUAAAGACUGACUAAGCAUGUAGUACCGAGGAUGUAGGAAUUUCGGACGCGGGUUCAACUCCCGCCAGCUCCACCA